Molecule: long non-coding RNA, 474 nt
Filed under: Callithrix jacchus (white-tufted-ear marmoset)
Lineage: Eukaryota; Metazoa; Chordata; Mammalia; Primates; Cebidae
Description: lncRNA (ENSCJAG00000080225.1)
Source: RNAcentral
GUGGUAUUCUAAUAUCAGAAAAGGGGAGCACAACAAGACCUCCUUCCCACAAAAGAAGAAGCUAUUUGGAAGAAAAUCCAUCACCAAAUGGACAUAUGCCAGCACCACUGAAGGAAAAAUCUCCCAUGAAAUUCACACGGCAGGGCAGAGGCUCUGAGGAACCAAUUAGUUCUUCCAGAAUGAUCCACACUCGCACAGGCCUAGGCCUCACCAGACAGGGAGAGCUCCUACUGAGCUGAACCUACUUGGAGGACCUUGGCUAAGACAUGUCUCUGAUGUCAUCAUGUAGUAGUUCAGGGUGCACCCACAGGGGGUUGGCAGAGGACAGAGUGACUCUGAAGCGGCAAACAGUAACCUCUGCCAUGCCAUAGUAAACCUCUGCCAUGAUCACAGGUGGAAUUAUCUUAAUGCAUGACCUAUGUCAAAAUGUAAUUGUGUGUGAACUUAACACUUAGGUUUUUAUACACCAUGAAG